GCCACCUCAAGUGGUAGCCACUAUUAUUGGGCCUAAAGCGUUCGUAGCCGGCCUGGUAAAUUCUUGGGCAAAUCGUACCGCUCAACGGUGCGGAUUCCGGGGAGACUGCCAGGCUUGAGACCGGGGGAGAUCAGAGGUACUUGCGGGGGAGCGGUGAAAUGUUGUAAUCCCACAGGGACCACCAAUGGCGAAGGCAUCUGAUCAAAACGGCUCUGACGGUGAGGGACGAAACCCUGGGGCGCAAACGGGAUUAGAUACCCCGGUAGUCCAGGGCGUAAACGCUGCUGACUUGGUGUUGGGGGUCCUACGAGGGCGUCCAGUGCCGGCGCGAAGGUAUUGAGUCAGCCGCCUGGGGAGUAUGGUCGCAAGACUGAAACUUAAAGGAAUUGGCGGGGGAGCACUGCAACGGGUGGAGCGUGCGGUUUAAUUGGAUUCAACGCCGGAAAACUCACCGGGGGCGACGAUUACAUGAAGGCCAGGCUGAUGACCUUGCCUGAUUUUUCGAGAGGUGGUGCAUGGCCGCCGUUAGUUCGUACCGUAAGGCGUUCUGUUAAGUCAGAUAACGAACGAGACCCUCAUCGCCAUUUGCUAGGCUCCUCUCCGGAGGGGUUGCACUAUGGCGAUACCGCCACUGCUGAAGUGGAGGAAGGAGGGGGCAACGGUAGGUCAGUAUGCCCCGAAUCUCCCGGGCUACACGCGCGCUACAAAGGGCAGGACAAUGGGCUUCGACGCCGAAAGGCGGAGGCAAUCCCUAAACCUGCUCGUACUUCGGAUUGAGGGCUGCAAUUCGCCCUCAUGAAGCUGGAAUCCGUAGUAAUCGCGGGUCAACAUCCCGCGGUGAAUAUGCCCCUGCUCCUUGCACACACCGCCCGUCAAACCACCUUAGUUGGGUCUGGACGAGGGCACGCCUUCUGGCGCGCUCGAA
This 925-nucleotide ribosomal RNA is filed under the name uncultured marine group III euryarchaeote. RNAcentral's name for it is "bacterial SSU rRNA". It matches the Rfam family "Archaeal small subunit ribosomal RNA", at positions 478 to 1407 of the family's 1478-position model. Lineage: Archaea; Methanobacteriati; Thermoplasmatota; Thermoplasmata; Candidatus Thermoprofundales. The record is from RNAcentral.